This is a long non-coding RNA of Chenopodium quinoa (quinoa), 872 nucleotides long. RefSeq lists it as uncharacterized. NCBI's taxonomy places the organism in Eukaryota, Viridiplantae, Streptophyta, Magnoliopsida, Caryophyllales, Amaranthaceae. The record is from RefSeq and is a predicted model, not a curated record. The transcript has 3 exons.
UAUUUUAAUAAUUUUAUAAUUAUACAAAAAUACUUUGGGAAGAUUUCAAAAAAAAAAAAAAACAAUAACUUAUACUUUAAUACCAUUUUACUCACUUUGGGCUAUGAUUACCAUUCCAAUUCUACAAAAAUAAAAGAAGCCCAAACCUCCCAAACCCUCAUUUUCUAAUUAAGUAAACUUCUCCUAAAACCCUCCUACUGCCCUCUCCUUAUUACUCCUCUACUGCUUCCUCCUUUCCCCAUCCACAAUUCACGACACUCACAGAAAAAAAAAAAAUUCGCUGCUGCCCCUUCGUUGCUGCUGUCGCCUGCGUUGCUGGUGUCGCCGCUGCACUGCUGCUGCCACCGGCGACCCGUCGCUGCUGCUCGAACCACCAGCCGGAAGGGACUUCGUAAAAGGUGACUUCUAGCCUUAAAGUGGCCAACCAAUUUGUGUACUCAAGGUUAUUACAGGUUUUUGCAGGUUUUCUUGUAGAGAGAAUUAUUGGGGUGUUACAAGUUUUAUGAAGGACAAAGGGAAAAGGAAAGCUGACACUAAGGAAAAAAAGGAUUGGGUUGAAAAGAAAGUUGGUGUUUUUGCUAAAGGGAAACUAUUUCCUCUAAGGUUUUGGUUAGAUCAUCUAAUGGUUCCCUUUUGUUAAAGGAGCUAGAAGAUGAAGAGGAUACACACAAGAAUUGGAAGAGGGCUAGGAAGGAGAAGACAGAUUAGAGCAUUGCUUUGCCUUCAAUUUAUUAGACAAUAUUUUAAUUUCAAGUAUAUUUUCAAGCUUUUAUUUCAUUAAUAAUGUAAUUUCCAAUUACUAAUGCAAUAAUUAGCUCUUACUUUUCAAUAUUCCUUUAUUAUUGGGAAUAAUUUUUUAGCAAUGAAAACAA